RNAcentral lists this long non-coding RNA (602 nucleotides) under Dromaius novaehollandiae (emu). Its description in RNAcentral is "lncRNA (ENSDNVG00000001030.1)". The record is from RNAcentral. Lineage: Eukaryota; Metazoa; Chordata; Aves; Casuariiformes; Dromaiidae.
UGAAGCAAGUAGACAUUAGCGGUUACUGACAAUUUAUGUCUUGAAUUUCCUUAGAUGACGAACUUAACCAGUUGAGAUCCAUCGUACAGCUGAGUUUUGGACUGUAACUUCUCUGGAAGUCAAACCCUGCUCUAUUAAAUGGAGCUGAGGGGAAGCUGAAGAAGACACUGGGAAAGCUAUGAUUUCAAACCGGUGUGGGAAACACUAAGGCACUCUUGCUGUGAGAAAAUCUGAGAUUUCAUGGAAAAURUGUUCCAGAGCCUUUUGAACCAGAGUUCCUGUGAGAUGCCAAAUGAAUCACUUAAACCAACUUMUCCUGUGCCCCAUUUCUGGGAAUCUGACCUUGUACGUUUGGAAAAUUGUGAAAUCAGAAGGCACUUGGAAUUUAUGAAUGCUAGAUUAAAUGGGAGGAAAAAAAAAUCAAGUCAUGAAUUGCACCUAUAAUUCGGCUACAUCAAACACCCGUAACUGCAGGGAAUGGAUGGUUUGCAAAGCACUCAGGUAUGUUGCAUUGCAGAAAGGCCUGCAAGGGAAUGAACAAUGUGAUUUGGGGGAUUUGAAUAGUGUACGAUAAAUAAGGCCGGAGGUCAUACAAUGGGCAU